AGUCAAUAGAUACCCUGGUAGUCCUGGCCCUCAACGUUGCUCGCUCGUUUUACGGAGUAUCGACCCUCUGUGAGACUAAAGCUAACGCGGUAAGCGAGCCGCCUGGGUAGUACGAUCGCAAGAUUAAAACUCAAAGGAAUAGACGGGGACGUCGCACAAGCAGUGGAUUAUGCGGCUUAAUUCGUCGGUAAACGAAGAACCUUACCAAGGUUAGAAACCCAACUGCAUCCGACCUGAAAGGGACGGAGCCUUCGAGGGUGUUGGGCAGGUGAUGCAUGGUCGUCGUCAGUUCGUGGUUUGAACUGUUCCCUUCAGUGGGGUAACGAACGCAACCCCCGUUGUCUGUUGCCUAUAUGGCCAGGCGAGACUGCUCCCUCACGGGAGAGGAAGGUGGGGGAUGACGCCAGAUCAGCAUGUCCCUCU
RNAcentral lists this ribosomal RNA (423 nucleotides) under uncultured bacterium. Its description in RNAcentral is "bacterial SSU rRNA". It matches the Rfam family "Bacterial small subunit ribosomal RNA", at positions 774 to 1204 of the family's 1533-position model. The record is from RNAcentral.